Molecule: ribosomal RNA, 485 nt
Filed under: uncultured bacterium
Lineage: Bacteria
Description: partial 16S ribosomal RNA
Rfam family: Bacterial small subunit ribosomal RNA
Source: RNAcentral
AUUGAACGCUGGCGGCAUGCUUUACACAUGCAAGUCGAGCGGCAGCGCGGGGGCAACCCUGGCGGCGAGCGGCGAACGGGUGAGUAAUGCAUCGGAACGUAUCCUCGAGUGGGGGAUAACCCAGCGAAAGUUGGGCUAAUACCGCAUGAGCUCUGAGGAGGAAAGCGGGGGACCUGCGAGGGCCUCGCGCUGGAGGAGCGGCCGAUGUCCGAUUAGCUAGUUGGUGGGGUAAAGGCUUACCAAGGCGACGAUCGGUAGCUGGUCUGAGAGGAUGAUCAGCCACACUGGGACUGAGACACGGCCCAGACUCCUACGGGAGGCAGCAGUGGGGAAUUUUGGACAAUGGGGGCAACCCUGAUCCAGCCAUGCCGCGGGAGUGAAGAAGGCCUUCGGGUUGUAAAGCUCUUUCGGACGGAACGAAAUGGGCGGGACUAAUACUCCUGUCUGAGGACGGUACCGUAAGAAGAAGCACCGGCUAACUACGU